This 760-nucleotide ribosomal RNA is filed under the name Prevotella melaninogenica. RNAcentral describes it as "bacterial SSU rRNA". It matches the Rfam family "Bacterial small subunit ribosomal RNA", at positions 28 to 776 of the family's 1533-position model. The record is from RNAcentral. Lineage: Bacteria; Pseudomonadati; Bacteroidota; Bacteroidia; Bacteroidales; Prevotellaceae.
GAUGAACGCUAGCUACAGGCUUAACACAUGCAAGUCGAGGGGAAACGGCAUUGAGUGCUUGCACUCUUUGGACGUCGACCGGCGCACGGGUGAGUAACGCGUAUCCAACCUUCCCAUUACUGUGGGAUAACCUGCCGAAAGGCAGACUAAUACCGCAUAGUCUUCGAUGACGGCAUCAGAUUUGAAGUAAAGAUUUGUCGGUAAUGGAUGGGGAUGCGUCUGAUUAGCUUGUGGCGGGGUAACGGCCCACCAAGGCAACGAUCAGUAGGGGUUCUGAGAGGAAGGUCCCCCACAUUGGAACUGAGACACGGUCCAAACUCCUACGGGAGGCAGCAGUGAGGAAUAUUGGUCAAUGGACGGAAGUCUGAACCAGCCAAGUAGCGUGCAGGAUGACGGCCCUAUGGGUUGUAAACUGCUUUUGUAUGGGGAUAAAGUUAGGGACGUGUCCCUAUUUGCAGGUACCAUACGAAUAAGGACCGGCUAAUUCCGUGCCAGCAGCCGCGGUAAUACGGAAGGUCCAGGCGUUAUCCGGAUUUAUUGGGUUUAAAGGGAGCGUAGGCUGGAGAUUAAGUGUGUUGUGAAAUGUAGACGCUCAACGUCUGAAUUGCAGCGCAUACUGGUUUCCUUGAGUACGCACAACGUUGGCGGAAUUCGUCGUGUAGCGGUGAAAUGCUUAGAUAUGACGAAGAACUCCGAUUGCGAAGGCAGCUGACGGGAGCGCAACUGACGCUUAAGCUCGAAGGUGCGGGUAUCAAACAGG